Molecule: long non-coding RNA, 348 nt
Organism: Etheostoma spectabile (orangethroat darter)
Lineage: Eukaryota; Metazoa; Chordata; Actinopteri; Perciformes; Percidae
Exons: 3
Source: RefSeq, a predicted model, not a curated record
AGACAGUACGGUAACGGUAUGUGGACAAGCGAGGUAGAGAGUUACUGAAGAGAGAGAAAGCCAGGCAGCAUUAUAACAAAGCAGUAAAUCAGAGAAAUAAAAUGUUGUUUUCAUCGAUUUAUCACUUGAAAUGCGACUGUAGCAAGUAUCUCACUAUCAUUAAAGUUACCCAAAUUCAUAUUUAGUAACAACAAAUACUACAUCCAGCUACAAAAAAGCGGAAAAGUCGAAAGUUAGACUGAAGUACAAAGAGUCAUUGACUAUGAAGAUGAUACACCGUCUUGUCUCUUCUCAAUGGUUUAGACUGGCAGCUUUCAGAAUGCUGCAGACCGACGUGCUGAAAGCAUU